UGCGUACCAAAUGUAAUGUUAAGGCAGGGCUUGACAUUCAGGUCAAAUGUAAUGUUUAGGCAGGGCUUGACAUUCAGGUCAAAUGUAAUGUUAAGGCAGGGCUUGACAUUCAGGUCAAAUGUAAUGUUUAGGCAGGGCUUGACAUUCAGGUCAAAUGUAAUGUUUAGGCAGGGCUUGACAUUCAGGUCAGUUUGGCCGAAUGAAAGAAAUACUGGCACCAGUCAACAUCUGGCAGGCAAGUGAAUGAUGAGCAUCAAUUCAACAGCUAGUGAUUUUAUCUUUCAUUUGGGCUGAGCAAGUAGCCUACAGGAUUUAUACAGACAUUGGGAAGUUAAAUUCAAUGAUUUUUCGGGCAGUUAAUUGUAAUUUUGAAGGACUUACAUUUUAUAUUGAAUUGUCAUAGCCUAUCGAAAUAAAUCCCCUCAAAACUAGUAAGCAAACCAGUAUGCAUAACAACUUAGAGAAUAAUGCGUGUUUUAUUACGCCUUCCACGUGGCAUUAUGCAAUGACAUAAACAUACUUUACAUUCUAAAACCUGUCAGAAUAAAGCAGACAUUAUCUGACUAA
Oncorhynchus keta (chum salmon) is the source of this 567-nucleotide long non-coding RNA. RefSeq lists it as uncharacterized. NCBI's taxonomy places the organism in Eukaryota, Metazoa, Chordata, Actinopteri, Salmoniformes, Salmonidae. The transcript has 2 exons. The record is from RefSeq and is a predicted model, not a curated record.